GAAAUGGUUGAAGACUAGAUUAGAUCUACAUCUAGUUCUAGACAUAGAUCUAGAUCUCUAGAUCUACUGAUCUAGUAGUCUAGGUCUAGAUAUUAGAAUUAGAUCUAUUCUUAGAAUCUAGUGGCGAUUUUAUUGUUUACCAUGGAGUUGUCUACUUUUCAAAUUUUACUGACCAAGUUUUGUACAGUGACUGAUCCAUCAGCAGUUUCCGAAGCAGUAACUGAUAUCUCAAAAAAAUAUCGCUUUGCUGAUGGUGUCUGGUCACCUCAGAGGAUCAACAGGAUUUGUUCAUUGAAAGACACUUGAAGAUUUAGGCAGUUAAAGCAAAAGGACUUCUUGCAAUGUUUGUUUCAAGGACCAGACACAACAGAAUUCCACAACAUAUGUAUCGGAAGCUCAAAAUCAGAAACUGAAAUCUGCCCAUGUGGAGUGUCACCAGAGAAUGUUGACCAUCUCCUCCAAAAUUGCUCUCUUUACCAAGAGGCUGUACAUGACACUGGCCCCAAAACACCCCAAUAGAAAGAAAACUAUAUGGAGAGUUCCCUGAUUUGGAAAUCACUGCAAAAAUAAUCUCAUAUACUGGUCCAGUCAUCUGAAUGCUCCAAUAAAAAAAAUGAGAAGGAAGAAGAAAAAGAUUGUAUGUACCAUUUUUGUUUGUUUGAGGAUGGGGAGAAAAGUGUUCUUAGAAUUCAAACACCAAAAGUAUGUGUCUUUAUGAAUUCAAUGUAAUUGAUACUAGGCUUUUUGAGCUGAAAAUAAAAUGCAGGAAAUUUUAUUGGAAGUGCAGAAAAAAAAAAGAGUUUUUAGCCAAAAUAAACAAUGUAUAGCCUGAGAACAAAUCAGGUGGAAGAACCAAGGGUAAUGCUAGUAUACUAUAGAAGUAGUACCUUUUUUUAUGCUUGCAACUUCAUUGAUGCAUAACAGUGUCACAAACUGUUUGUUAAUGUGAUAUGAAACAUAAUUUUUUUAAUUUUUUUUGUUACACAUAUAAUCACUCUAAAAAAAUUAUUUCUAAAAUAGAUAACUGUCUCUAGUAACCUGCUAGUGGACCAUGACCAACCUUUUUCUAUCUUGCUUUGUAUGAUAUAAACUUUCCUAGAUUUGACUUUCAAUUGUCGUUCUGAUCAUGUCAGUUAUGCUAUAGGCUACUUUUAAUUGCAUAUGUUAGACAAAUAUAGUGAAAACAAGAGUAUAUAACAUUUUCUAAAGAAAUUUUUAAUAUUUUGCAUUUUUAGGGAAGCAACAUGGCUAUCGAAAAGCAGAGACCAUACAAACCUCAUUAGAUGAAGAGUUUUAUUUUGUUGGUAAAGUCCUUGGUUUUGAGCCAUCAGAGAAACAUAGAAAGCUCUGUUUUGACAAUAUAUAAAGAGUGACUUUAGCUCAACUCCUCACCAAGCUUUACAGUCUGUGACAUUUUUUUGGUAAAACUUUUAAUCAGAUUUAUGUGUGUAUACUUAAUUAUGUUAACUACAUUGAUCAAGAAUACUCAAUUCAUAAAAAGAAGCUGCUUUAAAGGAUUAAAGAUAACUUUGACCCUUUUGAGAAAACAAAUUUAAACACAAGAUUUUGAAUUAAUUUUGUAAUUCUUUUAUAUUUUUUCUUUCUGAAAGCCACAUAACAACACAAGUAUUUAUUCAAGGUUUUGAAUGUAUGGUAUACUGUUAGGUUUAGUAUUGAGUCAUUUAGUAAAUUGUUUUUGUUUUGUGGUUUUUAUAAAUUAAUAAAUGGAAGUUUAUAUAAUGUGUUAUGCUUAUAUGUAUGAUUUUUUUUACUGAUCUAAAGAAAGAAACUUGAGGAUUUUAAUUUUUAUUCCUUUUGAAACAUGUAAGGAAUAUUAGAACAUUGGUUGGCAACAUUAUUAGUGUAAAAAUGUAUUUCACUUGUUAGCCAAGAAUGCUUAUAACUGAGAUGACAUCACUAAUUGUGGUUAACAAGGGUGCCAUGUUGUCAGCACAAUAACCAACCGCCUUUACUUUUCCUAACUCAUAUCAGGUACCCAUUAGAGCUGGGUGGACUCAAAGGCACCAUAAAGAUCCCAAAAUUAAAAUACCCGUCUUCACCAGGAUUUGAACCCAGGGUCCUCCUGUUUGGAAGUCAAGUGCUUUACCACUCAGCCACAUGCCUCCGUUAAAGGCUAGAUUUUGUGACAAUUAUUUUUAGGUCAGAGAAUGAUGUAUGCACAAAGUUGUAGGUUUUUUUUAUUAAAUUUAUUUGUAUUUAACCACUGACUUAUUAAUCUCUGAAUUGUCAAAUUUAAGUUUGUAAUCAGUUAGUGUUGACCUUGGCUUGAUAGGCUAAAAGGAUUAACAAUAAUAAUAAUAAUAAUUAUAGCUUGUAUGUAGUGCUACUUUCAUGCUUACAGCAUGCUCAGAGUGCUGUGUUCCAAUCUUAUGUGUGGACCAGUAGGGAGGGGGGGGGUUUGGGAGAGGGUUUUCCGUGCUGCCUUCGGGUACUCAUUAAACAGAACUCUGCUUGAG
Long non-coding RNA from Biomphalaria glabrata, 2477 nucleotides. RefSeq lists it as uncharacterized. The record is from RefSeq and is a predicted model, not a curated record. Lineage: Eukaryota; Metazoa; Mollusca; Gastropoda; Planorbidae. The transcript has 5 exons.